Molecule: unclassified non-coding RNA, 664 nt
Filed under: Hevea brasiliensis (rubber tree)
Lineage: Eukaryota; Viridiplantae; Streptophyta; Magnoliopsida; Malpighiales; Euphorbiaceae
Source: RNAcentral
UAAAAUUGAAAAUAUUUGAUAAUCAUCGAUUACAAUUGAACUAAUACAAAAAAUAUGAAAUAUGUUAAUUAUUAAUGAAAAAAAUUAGAGUGAGAUUCAAUACAAAAUAUUAAAGCAAGUCUUUCAAAAGGGUGCCAAUUUUCAGCUGUGCCAGAAAUAUUGUAAUAUCUCAAAUGUGAUCAAUGUUUGCUCAUUAUUUUUACAGUUCUUUCAACCGAUGAAGCCAUUAAUUUCUUUAGCAUAUUAUCAGCUUUAUACCCUUACGAAAAAAAAAAUCAUAAGACCCAAAACUAAGGAAGACAGAUAGAAUAGGAAAAGGGACAAAAAGAAAUCGCUGACCUCACAAAGAAAACAGCACCACGAACCAUUUGGAUAUACAAAAACCAUCUCAAGCUAAGGAAAAAGGCCAAGCAAUAAUGAGGAAGGAAAUGAUAAGUCUCGGGCAGAAGGAACGUCAACAAAACAGUACCAAUGCCUAAAAGAUAUGGAGCCAGAUAAUGUUUGCUCCCGGCUAAAUAUACAGAUUUUCGGCUUCCCCACUCAUUAAGCCGAGGGAAGCCAAAAAAUAUUUUUUUUUAAACAAUCUUCUCUCUUUUGAAGCUGCAUGCACUGACACUUUUUUGUUGUUUAUGUAACCUGGACACGCUGAGGAGGACGAGAAGAA